GAUGAACGCUGGCGGCGUGCUUAACACAUGCAAGUCGAACGGAAAGGCCCUAGCUUGCUUGGGUCCUCGAGUGGCGAACGGGUGAGUAACACGUGGGUGAUCUGCCCUUCACUUCGGGAUAAGCCUGGGAAACUGGGUCUAAUACCGGAUAGGACCUCUUCUUGGAUGUUGUGGUUUAAAGUUUUUUCGGUGUGGGAUGAGCUCGCGGCCUUUCAGCUUGUUGUUGGGGUAAUGGCCUAUCAAGGCGUCGACGGGUAGCCUGCCAGGGGGGGUGUACGGCCAAAAUGGGAAUGAGAAACGGCCCAGACACCUACGGGAGGCAGCAGGGGGGAAUAAUGCACAAAGGGGGCAAGCCUGAUGCAGCGAAGGCGCGGGGGGGAAGACGGGCUUCGGGUUGUAAACAACUUUCGCUAGGGAAGAAGCGUUGUGUGACGGUACCGGGAGAAGAAGCACCGGCUAACUACGUG
RNAcentral lists this ribosomal RNA (467 nucleotides) under uncultured bacterium. RNAcentral describes it as "partial 16S ribosomal RNA". It matches the Rfam family "Bacterial small subunit ribosomal RNA", at positions 28 to 507 of the family's 1533-position model. The record is from RNAcentral.